AUGCUAUUGUUAAUGCGUAUUUUAAUUUACCUUUUUUAUAUAGCUUACUGUGAGCACCUUGAGUGUUCUGUAUAUUCAUAAAGAAUAUAGAUAGGCCUCCAGGGUCUUUGAUUCAGUCUGAAAGGUACUUUAAAGCCUGCAUGGGUAUGAAGGUUACAUGCCUCUGCAAUUCCUUAAAAUCAAACAUAUCUUUUCCAAGGAUUGUAUUAUUGCCCUCCAUAGCUAUUGUGCAAUCUUAAAAAAGAAGACUCAGUUGGUUUAAGGAAUGGAAGUACUUCAGAGCAGGUGGAGUUGGAAGGUAGCAUCUGGACUUCACACACAGCCCUGAUAUGGAUCUAUCCAACAACAUUCUAGGACAAUCCCCUCUGAAUCCUUCAAGCAGGCUUGAAACAGAAAAACUAAUCACAGUCUUGAAAGUUAUCCACACUACAUUCUGCGAGGGGAGCAACACUACUGACCAUGGUGCUCAUCGUAAAAGAGCAGACUGGAUUUUGCUUCCCUUGGACCAGUGCAACUAAAUGGGCAAGCAUGACAACCCUUUGAUUUCUCAGAAGCCUUCUGAAGACAGAAAAAGAGCAGAAAUAUGGACUAAAUUUAAGAAGUGUGAUUGGAUUUGGAAAUAAAAGGGAGAAAAAAAAUCUUUUCCAUGGAAAAAAGGAUUUAUGGUGAUACUGGAAAAGAAAUGUUGCAAUUGUAAACAUUAAGUGUAGAAGUUAGGCUUUCCAAAAUCAGAUCAAUAGGCAGGUAUCUGCAAAAGUUGCCAGUUUGUGGCCGAAGAUAGAGGUGGAAUUGGAAUUACAGUGUACCUCGGUACUCAUCAUGAAUUGGCAGCCAACACUGACAAGUUCUAGCUAGUGCAUUGAGUACCAAAUAAACCAUGACUGCCAGACAAAAAUUUCAUGUCAGAAUGCGUUGAGAACCAAAUUCGAUAAGUUUCAAAGCAGUUGGGUGACUCAUUUGGUUUACAAUCAACUAUCUAGUUAGUUAGGAUUUACUUCCACAAGACAAGCCCAGAAUGAUACUCUAGAUUUCCUUUCUGUACUAUUUCUUCAUUAAAAUAUGACUGAAAUGCAUGUGAGAAAGGUGUGUUUCUAUUUUUAUGUAUGAAAAAGCAAAUGUUGUCUUGGAAACAGACUUAUCUGAAGUUUAUUGCAAACAGAGAAUGUGCUAGUGCAGAUUUCCUCAAAUUGGGGACUUCCAUAUGUUGGUUUCAACUCUCAUUAUUGUGUUGACUAGAAAUGGGUACAACUGGGUGUUGUACGCCAAUACAUCUGGAAAGCAUACUCUGGGGGAAUAAUCACACAAAGACCAAGACAACUGAUUUUACAGAUCAGUUCCCGAGAACAUUAUAAAAACAUCAUCAUUCUGAUACUAAUUCAUAUCUCACAACC
Molecule: long non-coding RNA, 1391 nt
Organism: Protobothrops mucrosquamatus (brown spotted pit viper)
Lineage: Eukaryota; Metazoa; Chordata; Lepidosauria; Squamata; Viperidae
Exons: 3
Source: RefSeq, a predicted model, not a curated record